GAGAAGGCAAAUUAGCAAUGGCAAUAGGUGUGAGGUUGUUGAAGACAUUUUCUUUUAGCAGAAUAACUUUUAGGCUUAGUUUGGAUGAGCGUAAAAGAGAGGUUAAAAAAAAGGCAAAGAGAGAGAAUUAAUUUAUGUUAUGCCCGUUUAGAAAUUAAUAAAAGGUACGGAAUAGUAAGAGUAAACCUUAACCUUCAUUACUCCUCUCAAAUUUAAUUUUUCUUACACCCCAAUAAUAUGGGAGAAAUCAGAGUUAUAACUUUUAUUUCCAAGUUCCUUAAAUUUACCCUCUUUACCAAUUGCUCUUUUGCUUUUUCAUUAACUUACUCUUUUCGAACAUGAAAUUCUUUUU
This 352-nucleotide unclassified non-coding RNA is filed under the name Hevea brasiliensis (rubber tree). Lineage: Eukaryota; Viridiplantae; Streptophyta; Magnoliopsida; Malpighiales; Euphorbiaceae. The record is from RNAcentral.